UGUCAAGCAUAGCGCUGCCAUUUUUCUGGUGAUUGAAUUAUCAUGUCAUUGUUUUCCAUCCAAUCAGAUAUCUCUGGCCCACUGGCCAACGAAUCUGAAUCUGAAUUGCCAUAUACUUUAGUUUUACAUGUUUUUAUCCUGUUCCUAUUUGCAUCUCUGUAAUUCAAGUUUGAGUAGUUACAGUGACUGGAUCAAGUCUCGAUGACUUAAUUUCAAGAAAGGUUUACAAGACAAAAAUUGCCAACUUCUUUAUGUCAUGAACAUCUACACAUCACUUUGCCCUCAAUACAUUAUACAUUCAUGGUGGAAAAGUGUAAUUUUGAUAAAAUGUUCAAGCCUAUAAAAAAUCAACUUCUUAUCAAGUCAUUUGUGUCUGUAAGUUUAGUCCUUGAAGAAUAUUUUGAUCUUUCUUGAAUGCCAGUCAGCCUUUUCUACGUAUUGUUUAAAGUUUCAUUUUUUUUGCGAUCCUAGUGCAGCAAUGUACCUUAGUUUUGCCUUUGUCAAGGUGCAGUCAAAACAUUUUUGAAGAAUUUAUCUCAAAUGACUUGAAAAUAAAUAACUUGUUUUUUUGCAAUGCAACAGCCCUGUUCAGUGCACUGAAUCUAGUUGCCUUUAUUCAGUGACCAAUCUGGUCCUUUUCAUUCUACAGCAUGGCAGCAGUAACAGUGGGAAGAAUCCAGUAAGUGGUGCCAAUGUUAUGGUCGGAGAUUACGGGACCGGCAGCUGUUCCGUGGGCAUCUUCACCACAGGGCGGUUGUUUGCAGAGACCAGUUUAGGUCUGUUUGUCUCUCAGUCAUCCCUCUGGGCCCCCGAUAGAAUAACUUCAGCCCCGUCCUAUUACUAUGCAACCCCACAAAACCUGGUCAGAGGUGCUCGAUCCUGCCUCCCUUAAAAAUACCACUGAGAAGAAAAAAACAUAGGACAUGAAAGUCUUUGAUAUCCCACUUUGAAAUUAUGGGUGGACCCUUAGUGCUUCAUUUCAGUUUUAGAAGUAAAUGAGUAGAAUCUAGUUUAACUUUGGCUAUUUGUUCUCAACUCACAGACUUACUAACUGUAACUGAGAGCUGACUGUUAAGAGAACGAAUCUAUACAGGAUUAUUUUAAGCUUAAAUUCACCAGCAAAUUUCCAUUGCUGGACUGUAAAACUCACAAUUUUACUCAGCUCUGUCCAGCGGAGCAUUUAAGGGUACACAUUUGUUUCACCAAGUCUACAGACAGGACUGUAUUUGUACAUCUUAAUUCACACAUGUGCACAUUUCUCUAAAUUACAAAACAUGCACAGGCCUCUGAAUCCUCCCUCUGUUUUUUAUUUUUAUAGAUAUAAAUACACACCCAGUUAGUCUGCAAUAAACCAGCUUUUAUUGGGAUAUAAAACUUUUUUCCAUCAACACCAAGCAACUGCUGCUGCUGCUGCACACAGGGGCAUUUAGGAGGUUUAUACUAAAAUACCUCCACUCUGGCUCCAGAGGAAUCUGUUCAUCACAAAUUCAACAGAAUCACAAUCUUCACAUUGUUUCCCUGACUUGCUCUUCUGUGCUUCACCUCUCCUGGAACACUUUCCCUGCACAGAUUACGUAUUUAACCUCUGAGAAGUGUGUCUUGAAGGAAAAGAGUGGAAAGGAGAAGCUUGGCAAAGAAUCGAGGCAUAUCAAACAAACAGUGGCAAGGCUGUAGGCAAAACAAGGUACGGCAAUUCAAGUGUUGGAUUAAGAUGUGCUAUAAAUAGAUUCAACAUAGAAACAUGCCAAAGACAACUUGAAAUAGAAUAAUAUAAUAUUCCCUAAGUAAUAAAUCUACUGUAAGUCGUUUUUAACUGACAAGUCAAGGGUUGUUUUGUUUGGGGUUAGACGGGGAAACAGUUUUCAGUAUACACUGAAAAUUGGCUGACAUUGGUUGUUUAAAAAAGUGCUAGACCAACCAAUUCAACAACAUUUUCAAAUCCAAAAUCUUAAAGGGGAAAUCCAUCCAUUACUCAUCCUCAUUGUGAUCACUCAUCAUGAGCGGUACUAUGCCAAAAGUAAGAGAAAGACUUCUGUGACUUCUGGAAAAGCUUUGUCAAGAAGAAGAAAAUGUACCCUGAUGAUGUAGAUGAGGAAUCCUGCUUUACAAACAGAGGCAGUGGCGUUUAAUCUGCAUGCUUUUGUCCAUUUUAUCCUUUUCUUUCAAGCUGGUGUAAAGCUCUCAAUCAACCAGACCAAACAACCAUGACCAAGACCUUCUGAAAAGGUGUACAUUGGAUUAUACAGGAAAACCCCCACCCACAGACCAAUACUUACUCUUCAAUUCCCACCAGCCCCUGGAUCAUAAGUAAGGGGUAACAAAAACCCUGCACCAACGAGCUGAUAACGUACCAACGUACAGAUUGUUGAUAUCCAAACUGGACCUUUGUGAAAACAGCCACAAGAUCCAAGAAGAACACCAAGGAAAAGAAGAGGAAACGCAACAUUGUGUUUCUGUAUGUUUCUGGAUUGUCAGAGAAACUAUGGAGGAUUUUCAACAAAUUAUUGUAUUAAUGUUAAAUUAAUGUAUUGUAUUAUGUACAUAUUUUAGACAGGGAGGGCAGAUUGUUUGAAAUAGGGGUGAAAGAGAACUUUUAUUCCUUCCCAGGAAACUGAACAAACAUUCACAUUUGGCCUCAUAUAAGAAUGACAACGACGGACGUUCAGAUUUGGCCUCAGGUGUCUGCAACGACCACAACAGCCAGGAGCAAUAACACACCAAGCAGUAUCGAUCACGUUGACAAUGCACCCACAGAGGCUAAAUUUGGGAUUGAGAGGCAAAAGUCUUCGAGUGUCUUCAACCAAGUCCAGUUGCCCUUGAUUUUAACCUUGCUUGGAUAACUAUGACCUGGAUGACUAAGAAUCUUCACAGAACUAAGAGGAGUAAACCUGAAGUCAUAUAGACUGACAGAUUAAACUACUAUUGAGCUACUACGUCAUCCUACAUCAUCAGCAUCUCAUAGAACUAUUCAAAAAUGGGCUACUGUCAGUCUGUACAACUUUAUGUUUAGUCUCUUCUGUUUGUUUGUAAAAAGGCAACAUGAACAAGAGACAGACCAGAACUAAAAGGAAUUUAUAUAUGUCUAUAUAUCUAUAUAUAUUAUGUAUACAAUUUCCUUCAUUCAGACCAAAUUAAUUGAAACACAAAUAUGAAGCACCCUAAAUCACUGGAGUACCAUGACGAGGAUUUCUAAAACAAAUGCUGUACAGUAUGUGACAAGUUAAGACUUUUUUCACAUGGUGGAUAAAUGCCCUAAGCAGUUACUUAAUGUAAUGUAAUAACCAGUAGUCAGUGAUCACUGCAGAGAUGGUCUAAAACACACUUGCUAAUAUAUUCAGCAAAGUGGGUGUUUUUCUAUUUUACAUUACAGAUAUUUCCAGACAUUUAGCUGUUGCUCUUUUCAGAGUAAUUUGCAUUGACUGCUAAAGGAAAAUAAACCUCCAUUCUAACAGUGGAAGCUGCCAUUACUAAAGGGGUUACAGGUCACAAAAGCAACCCUCCAAUCUUAUAGGAUAACAGCUAACAAAAACAUACGUAAAACGAGUGUUUGCAGCAGUCUGAAGAGCGAUUUGUGGAGGACAGGUACUACAGUGUUAAUGCUGAAUUGUUCAUUUGGCACCAUUACUUAGGAUCUGCAAUAUCAUGUUGUGCAAUUUUAAAGGAUUAUCUAAGACUGGUACAUGAAAAUUAGAUAUUCCAAAGCUCCCCCCCUCGCCUCCUUUAUCCUCACUUAUCCUUCCUCCUCAACACACACUCCCUACAUCUACUUUCCUACUCUUUUCCUCCCCCCUCCCAUCUUCCUCAACCAUCCUUUGCUGCACGCUCACCCCAUCAGUUGCUGCUGUUGCUGUGGCAGCUUUCUUUUUUAUUUAAUUUUUUUUUUUGGGGGGGGGGGUUGCAUUGCCAGACAGACAUAAUAAAAAUAAAACUGGAGGGGUGGAAAGGAAAAUCUUUUAAUAGAGACUUAUUACAGGGACAUAUUCGCAUCUAAUGUUGCAAAUAUUGCUUUUGGAAUAACGCCGUUAUAAUCCAGGAACAAAACAUCAGCCAAAGACACAAAGUUUAACAGGUUGGAAACAAGAGGAGGCAUUUUUACUGCUAAAGCUCAUCCACAGCUUGAAUACGUCUGCUGUGUGAAAUAAGGGCUACAAACAGUGGAUUUAUGCAACCCUAAGUACCAAACGCUAAAAUAAAAUACCUUCUAAGUAUA
Long non-coding RNA from Micropterus dolomieu (smallmouth bass), 4210 nucleotides. RefSeq lists it as uncharacterized. Lineage: Eukaryota; Metazoa; Chordata; Actinopteri; Centrarchiformes; Centrarchidae. The record is from RefSeq and is a predicted model, not a curated record. The transcript is spliced from 2 exons.